Molecule: transfer RNA, 85 nt
Filed under: Felis catus (domestic cat)
Lineage: Eukaryota; Metazoa; Chordata; Mammalia; Carnivora; Felidae
Rfam family: tRNA
About the family: Transfer RNA (tRNA) molecules are approximately 80 nucleotides in length. Their secondary structure includes four short double-helical elements and three loops (D, anti-codon, and T loops). Further hydrogen bonds mediate the characteristic L-shaped molecular structure. tRNAs have two regions of fundamental functional importance: the anti-codon, which is responsible for specific mRNA codon recognition, and the 3' end, to which the tRNAs corresponding amino acid is attached (by aminoacyl-tRNA synthetases). tRNAs cope with the degeneracy of the genetic code in two manners: having more than one tRNA (with a specific anti-codon) for a particular amino acid; and 'wobble' base-pairing, i.e. permitting non-standard base-pairing at the 3rd anti-codon position.
Source: Rfam by way of RNAcentral
GCCUGGGUGGCUCAGUCGGUGAAGCAUCUGACUUUGGCUCAGGUCACGAUCUCACGGUUUGUGGGUUCGAGCCCCACGUUGGGCU